Molecule: ribosomal RNA, 725 nt
Filed under: uncultured Tomentellopsis
Lineage: Eukaryota; Fungi; Basidiomycota; Agaricomycetes; Thelephorales; Thelephoraceae
Description: eukaryotic LSU rRNA
Rfam family: 5.8S ribosomal RNA (bases 283-436)
Source: RNAcentral
CUUGGUCAUUUAGAGGAAGUAAAAGUCGUAACAAGGUUUCCGUAGGUGAACCUGCGGAAGGAUCAUUAAUGAAAUGUUUGUCGAGAAGGGUUGUAGCUGGCCUCCAGGGGCAUGUGCACACCCUGAAUCACAUCCACCUCCCACACCUGUGCACCGCCUGUAGCUUGGGAUGAUCACGGAGCCCUGAUGGGCAACGAAGGCCCUCGUCUAUGAAUAUUUUUACAAACGCUCAAAGUAUGACAGAAUGUAUAUCAUAUUGCGUCUGAUAAACGUGACAAAUACAACUUUCAACAACGGAUCUCUUGGCUCUCGCAUCGAUGAAGAACGCAGCGAAAUGCGAUAAGUAAUGUGAAUUGCAGAAUUCAGUGAAUCAUCGAAUCUUUGAACGCACCUUGCGCUCCUUGGUAUUCCGAGGAGCAUGCCUGUUUGAGUGUCAUGAAAUUCUCAACUGCCCCAGGCUUUGUGGCCUGCGGGUGAAGUUGGACUUGGAGGUAUGCUGGCGCAUGAAUGGGCUUUUGUGCCCCGUCUCGCUUGUUGGCUCCUCUCGAAUGCAUGAGCUUUCCAAUCCUUGGCAAAGUAUCGUCGAUGUGAUAAUUGUCUACGUCGCCUGAGAAAGCCGAAAAGGGGAAAUCUUUGAUCACGCUGGGGUGACCUGCGUCUGACAAAUUCGACCUCAAAUCAGGUAGGACUACCCGCUGAACUUAAGCAUAUCAAUAAGCGGAGGA